Small nuclear RNA from Artibeus jamaicensis (Jamaican fruit-eating bat), 102 nucleotides. The record is from RefSeq and is a predicted model, not a curated record. NCBI's taxonomy places the organism in Eukaryota, Metazoa, Chordata, Mammalia, Chiroptera, Phyllostomidae.
AUUCCCUUGGGCAGCACAUAUACUAACAUUUAAAAAAUACAGAGAUUAGCAUGGCUCCCACACAAAGAUGACAUGUGAAAGUAAUAGAUUCAUUUUGUCUUG